GGGACAGGUUGGGCAAUCGCGGCGUUUCGACGCCGAGGAAGGUCCGGACUCCAUAGAGCAGGAUAGCGGCUAACGGCCGCCCGGCGAACCGGCAUGUGCGAGCAGGCCGGCUUGUUGAGGAACAGGGCCACAGAGACGAGUCUGCGGCGCGGGCAUGCCUGGCAUGCACUGACACGGCCACUUCCGUGUUGCGCGAACUGGCAACAGAACGCGGCGCAGCAGGGUGAAACGCGGCAACCUCUAUCCGGAGCAACAUCAAAUAGGCAUACGCAGGCCUUCGGGCCCAAAGGGCGGCUCGUUCGAGUAUGCGGGUAGGUGGCUAGAGCACGACAGCAAUGCCGUGCGUAGAGGAAUGAUUGCCAGCCAGGCUUGCCUGGUGUACAGAAUCCGGCCUAUAGACUUGUCCCGCCU
Molecule: RNase P RNA, 411 nt
Filed under: Candidimonas sp.
Lineage: Bacteria; Pseudomonadati; Pseudomonadota; Betaproteobacteria; Burkholderiales; Alcaligenaceae
Description: RNase P RNA component class A
Rfam family: Bacterial RNase P class A
About the family: Ribonuclease P (RNase P) is a ubiquitous endoribonuclease, found in archaea, bacteria and eukarya as well as chloroplasts and mitochondria. Its best characterised activity is the generation of mature 5'-ends of tRNAs by cleaving the 5'-leader elements of precursor-tRNAs.
Source: RNAcentral